RNAcentral lists this transfer RNA (61 nucleotides) under Apocryptophagus spinitarus. RNAcentral's name for it is "tRNA-Leu". The record is from RNAcentral. Lineage: Eukaryota; Metazoa; Arthropoda; Insecta; Hymenoptera; Pteromalidae.
AAUGGCAGAUUAGUGCAAUAGAUUUAAAUCCUAUAUAUAUAAAUUUUAUUUAUUUUUAGAA